AUUGAACGCUGGCGGCAUGCUUUACACAUGCAAGUCGAACGGUAACAGGCCGCAAGGUGCUGACGAGUGGCGAACGGGUGAGUAAUGCAUCGGAACGUGCCCAGUCGUGGGGGAUAACUACUCGAAAGAGUAGCUAAUACCGCAUACGAUCUAUGGAUGAAAGCGGGGGACCGUAAGGCCUCGCGCGAUUGGAGCGGCCGAUGUCAGAUUAGGUAGUUGGUGGGGUAAAGGCUCACCAAGCCAACGAUCUGUAGCUGGUCUGAGAGGACGACCAGCCACACUGGGACUGAGGCACGGCCCAGACUCCUACGGGAGGCAGCAGUGGGGAAUUUUGGACAAAGGGCGCAAGCCUGAUCCAGCAAUGCCGCGUGCAGGAAGAAGGCCUUCGGGUUGUAAACUGCUUUUGUACGGAACGAAACGGCUCUGGUUAAUACCCGGGGCUAAUGACGGUACCGUAAGAAUAAGCACCGGCUAACUACGUG
This 482-nucleotide ribosomal RNA is filed under the name uncultured bacterium. RNAcentral's name for it is "partial 16S ribosomal RNA". It matches the Rfam family "Bacterial small subunit ribosomal RNA", at positions 30 to 507 of the family's 1533-position model. The record is from RNAcentral.